This 466-nucleotide ribosomal RNA is filed under the name Tricholoma flavovirens. RNAcentral's name for it is "eukaryotic LSU rRNA". The stretch from base 139 to 292 matches the Rfam family "5.8S ribosomal RNA". Lineage: Eukaryota; Fungi; Basidiomycota; Agaricomycetes; Agaricales; Tricholomataceae. The record is from RNAcentral.
AAAAAAUACCUCUUGGUUUGAGGACUGUCGUGCGCAAGCCGGCUUUCCUUGCANUUUCCAGUCUAUGUUUUAUAAUAUACACCUAAAGUAUGUUUCAGAAUGUCAUUUAAUGGGCAUAACUGCCUUUAAUUACCAUACAACUUUCAACAACGGAUCUCUUGGCUCUCGCAUCGAUGAAGAACGCAGCGAAAUGCGAUAAGUAAUGUGAAUUGCAGAAUUCAGUGAAUCAUCGAAUCUUUGAACGCACCUUGCGCUCCUUGGUAUUCCGAGGAGCAUGCCUGUUUGAGUGUCAUUAAAUUCUCAACCUUUUCAAUCUUUUAUUGGUUGAAUUAGGUUUGGAUGUGGGAGUCUUUCUGCUGGCUUCUUUAAGAGGUCGGCUCUCCUUAAAUUUAUUAGCAGGACCUUUGUUGCCCUCUCAGCGUUAGUGUGAUAAUUAUCUACGCUAUUUGCUGAAAGCAACUCAUAA